CAGUAGCCGCGGUAAUACGUAGGUCCCGAGCGUUGUCCGGAUUUAUUGGGCGUAAAGCGAGCGCAGGCGGUUAGAUAAGUCUGAAGUUAAAGGCUGUGGCUUAACCAUAGUACGCUUUGGAAACUGUUUAACUUGAGUGCAAGAGGGGAGAGUGGAAUUCCAUGUGUAGCGGUGAAAUGCGUAGAUAUAUGGAGGAACACCGGUGGCGAAAGCGGCUCUCUGGCUUGUAACUGACGCUGAGGCUCGAAAGCGUGGGGAGCAAACGGGAUUAGAUACCCCUGUAGUCCCUGUCUCUUAUACA
Molecule: ribosomal RNA, 301 nt
Filed under: uncultured bacterium
Lineage: Bacteria
Description: partial 16S ribosomal RNA
Rfam family: Bacterial small subunit ribosomal RNA
Source: RNAcentral